CACUGUAGCGCUGAGGAGGACAUUA
This 25-nucleotide ribosomal RNA is filed under the name Amylostereum laevigatum. RNAcentral describes it as "partial 18S ribosomal RNA". Lineage: Eukaryota; Fungi; Basidiomycota; Agaricomycetes; Russulales; Stereaceae. The record is from RNAcentral.